CCGGCCCGGGGCAGCGGCUGCGGCCGCGGGGGGCCUCCCGUCGGGGCUGCAGAUAAAGAAUCCGAGGCGCAGAGAGGUGGCACUGCUGGAAGGAACAGAGCCAGAUCCACAAGAUCCUUCAUUCCGACAAUAAAUAUUCACUGAAGAUCUGCCACAUGUCAGGCCCCAGCCCAGGUGCUGGGGAUUUAGCAGAAAACCAGCCAGACCCAUUUCCUGCAUCCAUGGAGUGCACAGGCUGGUGGGGGAGAUGGGCUAGAAAUCCAUGAACCAAAUUAUACUGAGACGAGCGAGCACCGAGCGCCUAGCGUGGACUGCGACCGCUCGGGCUCCUGUAUCUGUGACAGAUGUGCUUGGGCUCCUCGUAGGACCGAGGGACUUUGUUAUCCACACCACUGGCCUUGAAGUUGGCUGCUACCUGAUGAGAUGAAUUAAGAACAUACCAGCACUUUGGGAGGCUGAAGUGGGUGGAUCACGAGAUCAGGAAAUUGAGGUCCAGUGAGGUGUCUUGGCCAGGACACUCAGUCAGGACGUGACAUGAACACAGGACUGUCUGACUUCAAAUCCAGUGCUCCUUCCCCUGCAGUCCCCACCCCACUGACUGGGGGACAGUGCUCCAGGCAGCUGGAAUGGGACACGGUUUGUGUGGCAGCGAGAUAUCCAGGCUCUCCUCCUUCCAGAUCUAAGGUAGGAAUGCACUUCCCACCCCCUUGAAGUUAGAGGUGGCUGUGUGACUGGCUUCGGCCAGCAAAAUGUGACAGCAAGCAACAACUAGCAGGAUGGGGGUGACUUGGGACCUGGGUGGGGACAACACAGAGCAGAUGGGGCUUUGGGGUCUCUCCCACUGCUCUCCCAUCCAUAGGCAUGCGGUGUGAACAGGAGCAAUCCCUUCACAGUGUGGAGCCACCGGCUUUGGAGUUGUUUGUGGCUGCAGUGUGUAACCCAGCAUCUCCUGACUGAUGUUAUAGGUUCUGCCGGAGGGGCAAAUGCGGGCAGCAAGGGCUUGCAGCCCUGGAAUUAACAAAUGAGAUUCAAACCCAGGUCUGCUUGACUAGGAAGGCCGGCCCUCUCCAUGGUGCCAGGACAACUCUUUGGAGAAGAUGCCCCUCUCUCUGCCUGCCUGAAUCUUCUCCGUCCACAAAGGCCUGCUCCAUCCUCCCUCCUCCAGGAAGCUUUCCCUGACUGUCCCCGGGCCCAGCCAGGGUGUCUGGGGGGCUGGAGAGACCCACAGAGCCCUGAUCACCGUGGCUGGCCCGUAAGUGUGGCGACUGAGUCCCAGUCUGGAGGCACAGCUGGACUUUCCCAGAGAGAACUGAGGCAUUGUGGGAAUUUCCCAGCUGUGACCCCAGGACCCUGAUUGCCCAGAAUGGCUCCAAGUUCACAUAUCUAGGGACCGUCACCAAGACUCCUGUAUCUAUAUUAAACUCGGUAAAUGUGA
RNAcentral lists this long non-coding RNA (1435 nucleotides) under Homo sapiens (human). Its description in RNAcentral is "HSALNT0290723". Lineage: Eukaryota; Metazoa; Chordata; Mammalia; Primates; Hominidae. The record is from RNAcentral.